CCGUGCCGCGUACGGUAGGCGCGGUGUAUUUUUGGGGUUGGAUUCGUGUUGAUUUCUGGGGGCUUCCAGGUGCGGCCGCUCCCCGAGAAGCGAGACCGUGCUGAGGACGUGGUUGUCUGUCCUUCCCCCGGGGAUGCCGUUGACUGCAGCCGUCUCAGGCUUGCGUGGCUUCUCUCUGCCCGGUGUUGCCAUCCUCGCAGCGCGGGGGCGAAAAGGGACACACAGAGCCCUUCCCGGCUGUGGACAGGAGCUGCCUCGGCUGAAGCUGGAGACGCCGACGAAAGGUGGAGGACGGCCUAGAGUCUGGAGCUGCAGAAGAGGCAGGGCGGAGAGGAGGGGAAAGAAGCAUCUGAACGGCUAAAUUGUGCCAGCAGCGCUGAGAGCGAGAGUCGCGAUGUCUUCUCAGUGUCUCGUGAUGCUCAAGAGAUGCCCCCCGGCCCGGGUUUGCCUGCCGGUCGUUAAGCGCGGUGAAGGUAAGGGGCCGUCCCUCUGCCUGGGGGCUCCCGGCUCUGUCUCCAGCAGGUGCCCCGCAGGUGCGGCCGUGAGGGCUGCCUGGUGGGGAGAGUCGGGGCCCCCAGGGGCCGGGGCUGUUUGUCGCCCCGGGGAGCCCGUCCCAGAGGGGGAGCAUGGCCGAGCAGAGCCCGAGAGAGACAUGACACUGUCCUCUGGCACGCUCCCGCUCCGCCGUGGGG
Phalacrocorax carbo (great cormorant) is the source of this 692-nucleotide non-coding RNA. The record is from RefSeq and is a predicted model, not a curated record. NCBI's taxonomy places the organism in Eukaryota, Metazoa, Chordata, Aves, Suliformes, Phalacrocoracidae.